Molecule: ribosomal RNA, 504 nt
Filed under: uncultured bacterium
Lineage: Bacteria
Description: partial 16S ribosomal RNA
Rfam family: Bacterial small subunit ribosomal RNA
Source: RNAcentral
GAUGAACGCUGGCGGCAUGCCUUACACAUGCAAGUCGAACGGCAGCAUGGAGAGCUUGCUCUCUGAUGGCGAGUGGCGAACGGGUGAGUAAUGCAUCGGAACGUACCGUGUAAUGGGGGAUAACGUAGCGAAAGUUACGCUAAUACCGCAUACGACCUGAGGGUGAAAGCAGGGGAUCGCAAGACCUUGCGUUAUACGAGCGGCCGAUGUCAGAUUAGCUAGUUGGUGAGGUAAAGGCUCACCAAGGCGACGAUCUGUAGCGGGUCUGAGAGGAUGAUCCGCCACACUGGGACUGAGACACGGCCCAGACUCCUACGGGAGGCAGCAGUGGGGAAUUUUGGACAAUGGGGGCAACCCUGAUCCAGCCAUGCCGCGUGAGUGAAGAAGGCCUUCGGGUUGUAAAGCUCUUUCGGCCGGGAAGAAAUCGCACAGGCUAAUACUCUGUGUGGAUGACGGUACCGGCAUAAGAAGCACCGGCUAACUACGUGCCAGCCGCCGCCGUAA